UACACUGUCAACCGAUUGUCACUGCGAGCCACUCGCUUAUCCGAAAAUUCGUGAAAAACUUGAACACCAAAAAAAAAUGGUACAUUUUUUAGGGAUUUUUUCCAAAAAAAUUUAUAAAAUUCCGAAUUCCCUUAAAGAGGACGUCACAACGUGAGAUCGUAUUAAUGAGAUGAGUGAUACGGCUAAAUGAAAUUCAAUAGCCGUGAAGAGGAUAGGGGGGAGGAUAACAUAUCACAUAUGAUACGAUAUCAUUUUUCAUCUAUGGGAGACUUCAUGAAGUUGGCAACUAUGACGAACUGUGUUAUACCUGGUGAGAUCGAAAUCUAGUGAUCUCGAGAUCUGGUCAACCGAAAACUAAUUACAAUCAGAAUCCGGAAAAGAUAGUUAAGAUUUUCUUUGUUAAAAUUUCAAACUACGAUGGCCGCUAUAAUUAAGUUAUCAGUGAAAGUACCACAUAAAGGAACGAGUGGAAUGCAUUUCAUUGAACUUCGCGUUCGAAUUGCCGUCAUGUUCAAUGAAUUAACCUAAAAGGAGCUUAGCCGAUUCGACUAUAGCGGGUCGAUCGGACAGGUGGGACGAAUGAUUUAGACGAAAUCCCGGAGUCUCUUGUAUAGGAUAUUUCGGAGGUAUCGUAUGCGAAAGAUUUGACAAGAAACAAGGAGAAUUCUUCCCAAGUCUUUAUACGGGUCUGACAUUCAAAUUUAUCGGCCUCGUAAAUAUAUAUAUAUAUGUUCUCCUUAUGCCAAUUUGUAUUCGAACCGAAACUUUUGUCUGGAGAAAUGGCGACACGUGUGGAAACUUCAUGAGCACUCCAUCACGGUAUAUAACCAUAUACUGUAGCUAUGUUUAUACAAAUAUAUAGAUACAUAAAUGUAUACGAUUUUGCACCGUGCUCCAGAAACCUCUGAAGCAUCUCUUAUGGUCUUUUAAAGUGGCAGAUAUUCGAAAGUACAGAUAAAAAUUUUUCUUUACAAAUUUUAAAGGAAUUUCAAAUUCGA
Molecule: long non-coding RNA, 998 nt
Organism: Cephus cinctus (wheat stem sawfly)
Lineage: Eukaryota; Metazoa; Arthropoda; Insecta; Hymenoptera; Cephidae
Exons: 3
Source: RefSeq, a predicted model, not a curated record